Molecule: ribosomal RNA, 225 nt
Filed under: uncultured bacterium
Lineage: Bacteria
Description: partial 16S ribosomal RNA
Rfam family: Bacterial small subunit ribosomal RNA
Source: RNAcentral
CACGUUUGACAUGUCUAGUUUGGUCGGCAGAGAUGCCUUCCUUCAGUUCGGCUGGCUAGAACACAGGUGCUGCAUGGCUGUCGUCAGCUCGUGUCGUGAGAUGUUGGGUUAAGUCCCGCAACGAGCGCAACCCUCGCUACUAGUUGCUACCAGGUUAAGCUGAGCACUCUAGUGGAACUGCCGGUGGCAAGCCGGAGGAAGGUGGGGAUGACGUCAAGUCCUCAU